ACAAGGGAAAAAAAAGGAAUAUAAGAAAGCAACUGUGAAUCUGAGGCUUCAUUUUGAGUUUUCCCCCAAAACAAAAAGGGGAAAACUAAAAGCCUGAUAGGUUACCUUUUUCUAACAAGGAACAACUGUCUCUACUUCGGGUUGCAUGCUUUCUCAAGUUUGAGUUUAGACAGACCACUCUUUUGUGAAUCUUUGCAUAAAGGGUCAUUGAAUAAUGGUCAGAGGCAUUGUCUUUGAAUGUUUUACAGAUAUGCUGAGGUUUGUACUUAGAACUUCUCAUUUUACAUUCAGCCUUUCAGUGAAAGGCGAACGUGAAGCUGACAUUUUAUAAUGGCAAAACUUAGGGGGCCAGAGCUAUAAGACAUGUUCAGAAGACAGGGAUAUGUGUCUUUUUUUCUCUUGUAUUGCUCAUGGUACCUAGCACAAAGUUGGAGAUGUGAUAGACUCUUUAAUACAGGUAUUCUUAUAUGGUUUACCAUGGCAAAAUCAACUUUCAAUUUUGUUUGGUUUUCAGAGUACUUUUCAUGAUAAAAAGGUUCAUUUGUUUUACUCUCAGAGCAUGCUCUGAGCUGAGAAUUAUAAACUAAAGGAGAAAAUAAUGAUGAGCAAAUAAUUGCCCAGGCUCCUAUGGAGAGUUCUCAGUAGAGCUGGAUUUGGUAACUUGAUGAGUUGUCACUGGCAAAUUUAGCAUUCACAUGUCAGACCUAGAAUAAUGCUAGAUGCUUAUCCCUCUCGUAUGGGAGCAGCCAGGAAGUCAGAAGAGGACCACAGACAGAGCGUUUGUUGGUGACAAGGGCUUUCAUAUCUUCAGAACUUGGCAAUAAGUAUUUUUAAAUAAUGGGAAGAAUGAAUUAUUUGAUUUCUGUGAAUUUAAAUUGCAAAAAUGAAAUAUGUGGGAGAAAACAGGUGCCUCCAUCUUUAACUGGAAUUGACAAAGCAGCAUUCACAAAGUGGCAACAAUUUCCUUUGACAUUUAUGAUUGCCCUAAUGCUGUUAAUCAGUGUGAGAUUAUUAUUUUUCCUUUCACAAAUGGAGAAACUGAGGUUCUGAGGGGUGAAGUGAGCUUACCCCAUUCCACAAAACUUGUAACUGCUGAUUCCCAGUUCUUUGUUCAUUUUAUUAGGCCAUGGAUGUUUCCUUAAAUAUAUUUCUCUGGGAAUAAAAUUCUCUUACAGAUCUUCUAGAAAUGGGGAUCUUGGCUUUCUGAAAUGAAAUUAUGUAUGGGCCAGAAGCCAGGAGAUGGAACGUGUGCUUUCUUACGUGUUUUCCUUCCAGCUUCCUUAGUCACGAUUCUUCAUUAUAACUUUGGUAUCUCUGAUAUUGAGUUAACUUUGACGAUGGUAUGGAUGAUGGUGGAUGGGUGGUACAUACAACUUUGAAGCACAUGAUGACUCUCUGGCCACCUACUUUAUUCUCGUAUUUCCCAAGAGGAGGUAAAUACUUCAUUUUAGAGAAACUGGACUCUAACCUAAAGUGGCCGAGAAGUCUAACCUGCAUUGUAAUCUUCAUCAAAUGAAAACACUUUGUUCUUAAAAGUACACUUGUUCCUUCUUCUUGCCCUUGACAAUUUUCUGUUUGAAGCAGCAAGGAACAGAGGAAAGAUAACAUAGUUUAUUCUAUGGAUUUCUACCAGUUCAAUUUUUAAAGUGUUAGCCUCUUAAAAUAAAUGUUUUCAUAAAAGAUCAUGAAGAAACUCGGAUUUUUGUCACUCCAUCAAUAUGUAGGAGGAGGGUAUGUCUGGGUAAGAGCCAAACAAUUAAGGUGUUACUGACCAGAAGUCUCUUGGUUUGCUGUCAUAAAAUGUCACAACUAUCAGCAACCACAAAAUCUUCAAUAAAUGGCACUGCAGACAGAAAUUUUUCUUAACAGUCUGGGUUUGUGAAUUCUCUUUUUUCCUUUCUGGUUUCCCUCUGUAGAUGUCUCUUUCUUCCUUUGUGCUUGGUCUCUCUGUUUCUCUUACUAACAACACACAUAUUUCUCCAUCUCUGUAUCAUCAUCUUCUAUUAGUUUUUCACAAGUGUAUUUCUGUGACUAAAAGGAUCAACAGAUGCUGACUUCAAUAUUGUGAAGCAUCCAGAAAAAGAACAAUUAAUUUAUAACAAACCUGCUUUGCUCUAACACUGACAGCUUUUGAAAAUGUAUACUGUAUGUGAGAUCCACAUCUCAUUUUGUUUUCAUUUAGAUGGUCAACAGCAUUUAACUCGAAGUUAGGUUUAAAUUCCCCCCAUGAGACUUGUCAGUUUUUGUCAGAAAUAAAACCAAUGAAUAUUUCCAUUUUAAAUAUUUAAAAGACCUUUUAAAUAAUGUGUUGAUAUUUUUGCUUGCAUUUUUGUUAUUAUCUUAACACUCUCUAUUGCUAUCUGCUUCAAUAUAGGAAAAAUGCAGUUACAAAUGUUUCCUGGUUAUAGUUAUUAAGAAUUAUCCCUAAUCUUAGGCUAGAUAUAUACAGAAGAUAAUCGUGUUCUAGAGUGUUCCUGCUGAAUAAAGUUGCCACUUAAUAAGAAACAGAUAUCAUGACUAGGUUGCCCUUGGAACUAACUGUCCAAGCGUGAACAAAUAUAUAUACUACAUCACACAUACACUCACAGUGCACAACACACUUAUACACUUCUCACAUACUCGCCUUUCUUUUACAACUUUCUGGCUCAGCAUGCCCAUGUCAUGAGCUAAUUCUGACCUAACAGAGAGGCUGUGCAGUCUUUCAGCUAGUGGAGGCUGAGAAAAUUGUGCAGCAAUAGGUCCAGUCCCUGGAAGAUGAAGUUAGUUAGCAUUUGGUGCCCAGCCAGCAGCAAUGUGACUUAGGCUUUUCGUCCUAGUAGGUAUGGAGUUCUGCUCUGAGCAACAAUUCAUUUAUUUUGUGCCAAUAUUCUGACUAGCUCAUUCUAGAAUCUUCUAUUUUGGUCAGAAUCUGUCCUAUAUUCUUGGCUGUGGUUCAAUUCUUUCAAUCAAAGAUCUGCCUAAUCCUGUUUUCCCAUAGCUAAUGUUGACAGGGUUCACCACGCCAUCUUCAUCUCCGCCCCCACUUCUCAUCUUCAGCCCAAACCAAUCUUCAUCUCUAUCUUCAUCUUUACUUCCAUCCACACAGCAAUCUUCAACUCCAUCUACCAAUACCAGUCUUAAGCUCCUGUGCCCCACCAUCCUCAGUCAUAGCAGUGCUCGAUGUGAUAACCUAAUCAAAAAUUUCAAACCAAACUGCCCAGCAUUCAUGGUUGUAAAGGACAUGUAGAAUCAGUCAACUGAUAGAUACAAAGUAACACUGAAACUGAUUGAGCAAUAAUCAGAAAGUUGGCGCUGCAAUAGCUUCCUCAGUUGUACCUCUCUGUCCACCGCCCAGCUCUUUCCUGUUGCUUCCAGUUCCUCUCACUUGUACUUCUUUAUUAACUAUUUGUUAACAUAACUUUCUAUGGUUUUCUUUCACCUAAGACCCAAACCUCUUCUCCUGGCUUGCAUUUCCACGACUCCCUGCCCAAGCCUGAGGUUGCACAAGAAACAUAUCUCUAAUUAAUGUCCCCUGUUCCAGGAAUUUGACUCAUUGGGCCUGCAAAAGAUUUUCGUGACAAAUGAAAUAUUUUUCUAAACCAAGGACUUGGGGAUAACUUCAGGGUCAAAGACAUCUUAUCAUAUUUAAGAACAGCCACAGGAUGUCUAGGAGCCAGCAGAGGGGCCAGAUAUGCUGCAGUUUAUGCUGUAAAAGGAAGCCUGCCGCCGUGAGUGGUCCAGUGGGAGCUCUUGCUUUGUGUCCUCAGCCUUUCACCUUUCCAUCUGAUGACUUGCUCUGAAUCUUCACUUCCUGGGCAGAGCUCUGAGUAUAGAUGAGGCAAACUUCACAUGGAAAAGAAGCCAUAUUUUGAAAAAACUACACGGAAUCAAAGAGAACUAACUCAAAGAAGCAAAAUUUUGGAGAUAAAACAAGGUAUCUGAUAGCAGUAGUGAUCUCAGGGUGGAUGACCCCCUACUGUUGCUCCUUCUUUUAAAUAAAACUCUUACUUGCAGGAGACAUACUGAAUGUAUUUGACCUUGGUGGCAGCUGGAAUUCAAAAAUCCUGGGUUGUGUUAGUUGACUAAGACAACAUUGUAGUACUGGUAGAGAAUUCUAAAAUCAGAAGAGCUUCAAUCUCUUCUAAUCUAAUUGACUAUGGAGAUUCAGGCAAGUUAUUCUGCCUCUGAGCCAGAUUUAAUUUCCUUAUCUAUAAUGUAAGGAGAAAAUCAAUAACUUUAAUAUUCUCUGAUUCAAAAUGUAAGCAAACAGAGGAAGGUGAUUGGCAACUUAGUUAAUUGGCAGGGUUAUUGGUAAAGAGUGAACACUGGGCAUUAUCCUUAAAGGUUAUGACAUUUGGAUAACCAUCUUGCAUCUUGGUCCAGUAGGCCAGCUACAGUAAUUGCUGUGGGUUAUGCUGAGUCUAGGACUGGAUUCCAAUUAAGCUGUGAUUUUUCACCAGUGCUAACUGUGGAAGGGCAGAUCCAUACAGAGCAUUCCUCAGCUAGGUAGUUUGAAUUAUUCCUAGACAGAUGCCUCCCAUUGAAGAGCACCUGGCAUUUUUACUAAGAGGAGAUCUAGCCAUUCUAGCAACUCUGAUUCACUCUCCUUUUGUUCAUCAUCUAUAUUUCUCCAUGGCUAUCCUUCCAAAGAGAAGCUAUUGCUAUAGUACACCUAACCAGAACAACUUUACCUCAAGGACACAGCUUUAUUAUCUGCUGAGGACCCUGAUCUAAUACUGUCAGGGUAGAGCCUGGUGUUCUGGGGAAAAUUUCAGGUUAUUAAAGCCAGUCCUAAUGGUUGGCUUAGAUAUGGCCUCUGUCUUGAUUUCCCUGCAUAGAACUUCUAUCUUUUAUUAAUUUGGUGCCAGUUGUAUAUUUUAAAGGGAGAGCUGUGGGUCUUGAUUUAAACCUGUAUAUACAUACAAGUACCUUGUUUUGUUAAACUACAUUGUCUUGCUCUUGUCAGUUUUAUCCUUAGAGGUCUGGACGUGCCCCAUCUCUGUACUUGAUUCUGCUGAGAAUACAGAGGUUGACAGUACCAUCAUGGCACACUACUCUGUGUGCACUGACCUAGGGCCUGGCACGCCUCAUAUAGAUACCUCCUAUCCCCUUUGUGCCUGCAUUUGUCUCAACCACAGGCCACAGUAGCUAACAUUCUCAGCUUUUGACCCACUAAUUUUUGGCUUUUGCCCAUCCCCAUUGACUCCCAUGUAGACCCUAUGUUCACCAGAAGGAUCCUCAUGUCUGCAGACUACAUUAAGAGGGAGGAUAUGCCUCUGUGAAUCCAACUGAUAGGUAUCUCCUGUGUGCCAGGGAAUGGCAGGGCCAUGGCUCUCUCAAAGCCAUGCUCAUAAAAAGCCUCCUCUGCAUCGACUUCCAGUCCCAUUUGAUUCUCAAGCAAGGAGUUCCAUCCGAGAAGGAAGCUGUCACCUGUCACUCUUUUAUGAAUUCUUAAGGACAGUGGAAGAGUUGAAAGGUUGGCAAUCACAAUGACAAUAGGCUAUUACAAGCAGGUGAAGAGCCUUCUUCUUUUGCUCCUUACCCCCAACUGCUGUUCAAAUAAUCAAAAAAGGGUCCUCAUUGAAACUGAUUUAAUUCUCAAGAGGAAUGAAAGACAUUUAAAGGGCAAGCCAACUUCAUAAAUGACAUUAAAAGGUUUUAAAAUAGUGUUUUGCUUCUAAAGGGUGUUUGUAAAUGUCAGAGGUAACAUAUUGAUUACAGUCCUGGCAGUUCUUGCUCAGGGCUUCUUAGCUGUCUUUGGCUUAACUCAUGCUGUUGACUUAUGCUCAUGGUAUGAAAUAUCUCAGCCAUCUUACUUUGUUUGCUUAAACUUUUCCAACCUACCAGACUUUAUCCACAUGUGAAUAAAAGGUACCAUCAAAUUAGUGGUGUUUAUAAUUUUUGUGCUUUUUAAUGUCUCGUGAAUUAUAUAAAGUUACGAAAAUGGCUAUAGGAAUUGGCCUACAAACUCUUGAGAUGUCCUAUAAGUUCCUACAAGAUAUUGAAAGUUGGUUGCUUUGAGGAUAUAAUUCUGAAUGUUGAAGCAAAUUAAAAAGCCAACUUGGAAGGGGAUACAUAAUCCUCUUUAAGUCAAGAUGAGGGGUAUAACCUCCCCCAUAUAUUCUGGGCCCAGUCGUCUGUGUUGAAAAGAACUCUGAUAGUUUAUUUGCUGAUACUAUUAAUGGGAGCCAAAAACAUUGUGGAGAAAGGUGAUAUUGUCAUCGUGAAUCUCUCUGAACUCCUGUUCCCAAUUUGUAGCCAGUAAGAGAGCAUGAUUGCUCUGACUACAGGAUUAUACUAAGUCUCUAAGGAAAUGAGAAUAGUGCACAUGUGUACUCUGAUUUAUAGUUUGCAAAGGCCAUUCAAUAAUUGGUAAAGCCGAAACCAAUGAAUUUCCUUCUGAUUUUCAGCACCAUUCAGAAUCUGGACAUAUAAUAUGUUUAUGGCAUUUAACCUAGUCAGACAGUAGAUAUUGCUCUAAGUCAUGGCCUACACCUGUGAGCCUACUUAUAUCAGCAUUUGCCAAAUGUACUUGUAGCUGUGGUACUGACCUCAGAGAACUUAGCCAAAGAGCAAAGACUGCCUAAUUCAAGAAGUACUGAGAAGAUGUUCCAGGAUUACUUCAUGCUGUCCAGGUCCUAGACAUGGAAUCGUUUGCUUCUUCAAAAGUCUGGAUCCCUUUAAGAUACGAAAUGUAUUUAGAAACCAAAGUAUGGAUGCUAGGUGUGCUCAUGGCCAUUGGAGUGUGUUUCUAGACCCAGGAAUAAGCAAACAAUGGCCUGUAAACUAUAUCCUGUCUGUGGCCUGUUUUUGUACAUCCUAAGAACUAAAAAUUAUUUUAAAAAUUGUAAAUGGGAAAAAGUCAACAACAACAAACAAAUCAACAAAUAACCCCACAAAUAAACAGUUUCUUAAAGACCAGAAUGACCAAGAAAUCUAUGAAACAGAGACCGUAUACUGCCCAGAAAGCCUAAAGUAUUUACUGUGUAUCCCUUUAUAGAAAAACUUUAUCAAUCUUGGUUCUAUUUUUAGUAUACAGAGCUAGGAAAAAUUAUUUCAUAAAUAAUACUGAGUUUAUAAAGAACU
This 7065-nucleotide long non-coding RNA is filed under the name Homo sapiens (human). RNAcentral describes it as "HSALNT0311151". Lineage: Eukaryota; Metazoa; Chordata; Mammalia; Primates; Hominidae. The record is from RNAcentral.